RNAcentral lists this ribosomal RNA (490 nucleotides) under uncultured bacterium. RNAcentral describes it as "bacterial SSU rRNA". It matches the Rfam family "Bacterial small subunit ribosomal RNA", at positions 30 to 519 of the family's 1533-position model. The record is from RNAcentral.
AUUGAACGCUGGCGGAAUGCUUUACACAUGCAAGUCGAACGGUAGAGGGGGCAACCCCUUGAGAGUGGCGAACGGGUGAGUAAUAUAUCGGAACGUGCCCAGUCGUGGGGAUAACGUAGCGAAAGUUACGCUAAUACCGCAUACGAUCUAAGGAUGAAAGCGGGGGAUCGCAAGACCUCGCGCGAUUGGAGCGGCCGAUAUCAGAUUAGGUAGUUGGUGGGGUAAAGGCUCACCAAGCCAACGAUCUGUAGCUGGUCUGAGAGGACGACCAGCCACACUGGAACUGAGACACGGUCCAGACUCCUACGGGAGGCAGCAGUGGGGAAUUUUGGACAAUGGACGCAAGUCUGAUCCAGCCAUUCCGCGUGCAGGAUGAAGGCCCUCGGGUUGUAAACUGCUUUUGUACGGAACGAAAGGUUUCUCUUAAUACGAGGAGCUCAUGACGGUACCGUAAGAAUAAGCACCGGCUAACUACGUGCCAGCAGCCGCG